ACGCAAUAGAUACCCAGGUAGUCCACGCCGUAAACGAUGGGCACUAGAUGCUCGGGGAGCGACCCUCUGAGUGUCGUCGCUAACGCAUUAAGUGCCCCGCCUGGGGAGUACGGCCGCAAGGCUGAAACUCAAAGGAAUUGACGGGGGCCCGCACAAGCGGUGGAGUAUGUGGUUUAAUUCGACGCAACGCGAAGAACCUUACCUAGGCUUGACAUGCAUGGGAAAGCCCUGAGAAACCAGGGCCCCUCUUCGGAGUCCAUGCACAGGUGCUGCAUGGCUGUCGUCAGCUCGUGUCGUGAGAUGUUGGGUUAAGUCCCGCAACGAGCGCAACCCCCGGUUUCUAGUUGCCAGCGAGUAAAGUCGGGGACUCUAGAAAGACUGCCGGUGCCAAACCGGAGGAAGGUGGGGAUGACGUCAAGUCAUCAUGGUCCUUACGUCUAGGGCUACACACGUGCUACAAUGGCCGGUACAGCGGGCUGCGAGCUAGCGAUAGCAAGCCAAUCCCUUAAAGCCGG
Molecule: ribosomal RNA, 515 nt
Filed under: uncultured bacterium
Lineage: Bacteria
Description: bacterial SSU rRNA
Rfam family: Bacterial small subunit ribosomal RNA
Source: RNAcentral